UCAUAAGAUAGUUUAAUUAAAAUUUCUGUUUUGGGGACAGGUGAUGGGAGUUAAAUUCUCUCUCUUUUGAU
Molecule: transfer RNA, 71 nt
Filed under: Stereobalanus canadensis
Lineage: Eukaryota; Metazoa; Hemichordata; Enteropneusta; Harrimaniidae
Description: tRNA-Pro
Rfam family: tRNA
About the family: Transfer RNA (tRNA) molecules are approximately 80 nucleotides in length. Their secondary structure includes four short double-helical elements and three loops (D, anti-codon, and T loops).
Source: RNAcentral